Molecule: ribosomal RNA, 404 nt
Filed under: uncultured bacterium
Lineage: Bacteria
Description: bacterial SSU rRNA
Rfam family: Bacterial small subunit ribosomal RNA
Source: RNAcentral
UGGGGAAUAUUGGACAAUGGGCGAAAGCCUGAUCCAGCAAUACCGCGUGAACGAUGAAGGCCUUAGGGUUGUAAAGUUCUUUUAGUAGGGAAGAUAAUGACGGUACCUACAGAAAAAGCCCCGGCUAACUCCGUGCCAGCAGCCGCGGUAAGACGGAGGGGGCUAGCGUUAUUCGGAAUUACUGGGCGUAAAGGGCGCGUAGGCGGAUUAGAAAGUUGGGAGUGAAAUCCCGGGGCUCAACCUCGGAAUUGCUUUCAAAACUCCUAGUCUAGAGUGAAGUAGGGGGUGAUGGAAUUCCUAGUGUAGAGGUGAAAUUCUUAGAUAUUAGGAGGAACACCGGUGGCGAAGGCGGUCACCUGGACUUCAACUGACGCUGAGGCGCGAAAGCGUGGGGAGCAAACAGG